GGCCAAUUAAGCUAAAACUAGAGUUGAUAGAGGGCAGUGUGGAGGUCAUUGGAGACCUUAAGAUAAGCUGUUGUUUCUUUACAGAUUUGGACAAAAGCUUGGUGCAGUGGGUUUAGGAAUAAACAGGAGCAAAGGGAGUAUAGAUAAUUCUUUCAAAGAAUUUGGCUAUAGAUAGAAAUAGAAAACAUGGUGUAAUAAGUGAUGAAUAACAGCAUGGGGAAAAGUAACAGCAUGUUCAUGUGUUAAUAGAAAUGCUCCAGUACAGAGAAAAAUCCCUGACGGAGGAGAGCCAGGGAAAAUUAUUAGAGCCUGAGUAGGAAAGUGGGACCAUGUUGGUGUGAGCUGGGUUGGUGGAUGUAUGUUGGGAAUUUGUGAAUUGAAAUAUGUAGCUGUGAGUGGAGGUUGGGAAUGAGAUGCUGGAGAUUAUAUAAAAAUGUAUAAAAGAAUUAUCUUUAAGAGUGAAUGGAUAGGGAAAGACAGUAUUGCUAGAUACUGCCUUUAGAUUAGUGGUAAUAAAUUUAAAAUGAGAUCAGUUUUCAGAUGAUUGUGUAUUUUUUUCUCUAGUUAACUUCUGGCCAGCGUAGGUGAUGAUGUAGCUGCAUAAGUACCUUGGAGAUCAAAGUAGUAGAGUUAGAAAAGCAUGAUAGGAAUUGAUUAUGGUAAACUCUAGAAUUUAAGAUGAUUAAGGAGGGAAAUGAAGAAAGAGGCCGUAAACUGUCUGGUAAGAUAAGUGCUUUCAUUGUAUAUCCC
RNAcentral lists this long non-coding RNA (750 nucleotides) under Marmota monax (woodchuck). The record is from RNAcentral. Lineage: Eukaryota; Metazoa; Chordata; Mammalia; Rodentia; Sciuridae.